This 373-nucleotide ribosomal RNA is filed under the name uncultured organism. RNAcentral describes it as "partial 16S ribosomal RNA". It matches the Rfam family "Bacterial small subunit ribosomal RNA", at positions 527 to 896 of the family's 1533-position model. The record is from RNAcentral.
GUAGGUGGCAAGCGUUGUCCGGAAUUAUUGGGCGUAAAGCGCGCGCAGGCGGUUCUUUAAGUCUGAUGUGAAAGCCCACGGGCUCAACCGUGGAGGGUCAUUGGAAACUGGAGAACUUGAGUACAGAAGAGGAAAGCGGAAUUCCACGUGUAGCGGUGAAAUGCGUAGAGAUGUGGAGGAACACCAGUGGCGAAGGCGGCUUUCUGGUCUGUAACUGACGCUGAGGCGCGAAAGCGUGGGGAGCAAACAGGAUUAGAUACCCUGGUAGUCCACGCCGUAAACGAUGAGUGCUAAGUGUUAGGGGGUUUCCGCCCCUUAGUGCUGCAGCUAACCCAUUAAGCACUCCGCCUGGGGAGUACGGCCGCAAAGGCUG